This is a long non-coding RNA of Papaver somniferum (opium poppy), 1076 nucleotides long. RefSeq lists it as uncharacterized. The transcript has 3 exons. Lineage: Eukaryota; Viridiplantae; Streptophyta; Magnoliopsida; Ranunculales; Papaveraceae. The record is from RefSeq and is a predicted model, not a curated record.
CAGCUGUGAUGUCUUUACAGUCUUGGUGGUUCAACCAAGGCCCAAAGAAUUUAGGGUACAUUGAUUAAAUAUCCCUACUUUUGACACCCUUCAAAUAUACCCUUAUCACAGAAUAAUUAUACCCCUCCUACAUUUAGAAGUUGGAGCCCGAAAUGUCAUAUUACCGAAAUAUCCUUCUAUAUAUUACGAUAAUAGCAGUUAUAGCCCAUGUUUUUCCUCCAGUUUCAUUCCGGCGUUUCUCUUCUCUCUCUCAUAACGGAACAUAAACCCCGAUCAUAAAUAUCAAAAGAACUGAAAUCAACCGAUAGAAAAAUCGAAUUAUAAUUCAUCAAAUGCAAGUUACGAUAUCAUUUGAGGCUUAAGAAGAUCAAAAUCAAGACAGAAACCAUCAAGAAAGAAGAAAAAAGUUAGGGUAAAAUAAUUUUUCAAUAAUCAAUUUACCGUCGUCGUCAACUUCGAUUUGAAGAUUCAAACAAAGAAUUCUUCUUCAGUUUCUUAAUCAAGGUGUUCUUAAAUAGUUACAAAGAUGAGUGGUUGACCGCAUAUUGAAGAAAAAAAAAUGCGGAAACCACCAAAUGUACAUUUGAAGAAGAAAAUGCAAGAAGAGAAAGAAUCACCAGAAGUUAAGAAAGGUAAAACACCAAAAGCAAAGACGAAGAAGAAAAUGCAAGAAGAGGAGGUACCCCAGAAGUUCUAAAAGGUAAAACUAAUUAAAUUGUAUAUGUGGAUAGUUGACUUAACUAAGAAGAUGCAAACAAGGAGAGUCAAGAUGCUACUUUGCAUUAUGACAGAAUAUGGUGCAUAAAAGCUAGAGUAUAACCACCAGCAACAGCAGGAGGAGCACCUAGACCAACAAGAUAGAUGUUCAAGAGAUAUUUCCUCGACCUCGACCGACUCAGUUGAAGACAGUCUAAUGUAGGUCUUAAACAUGUUAAUUAGGUAUUGUAGUGGUAUUUAACAUCUUAUAAUGUAUAGUUCUAAAAACUACCUUUUUUUGUGUAAUGGGAUUAAACAUCUUAACGCAUGUAUGAAGAAGUUACAGAAUUAAACGACUGAUGUUGUUACUUAUUUUUUUU